RNAcentral lists this ribosomal RNA (1298 nucleotides) under uncultured bacterium. RNAcentral's name for it is "bacterial SSU rRNA". It matches the Rfam family "Bacterial small subunit ribosomal RNA", at positions 99 to 1401 of the family's 1533-position model. The record is from RNAcentral.
CGCACGGGUGCGUAACGCGUAUGCAACCUACCCAUUACAGGGGGAUAACACUGAGAGAUCGGUACUAAUACCCCAUAACAUCCAGGGAGGCAUCUUCUUGGGUUGAAAACUCCGGUGGUAAUGGAUGGGCAUGCGUUGUAUUAGUUAGUUGGUGGGGUAACGGCUCACCAAGACAACGAUACAUAGGGGGACUGAGAGGUUAACCCCCCACAUUGGUACUGAGACACGGACCAAACUCCUACGGGAGGCAGCAGUGAGGAAUAUUGGUCAAUGGACGCAAGUCUGAACCAGCCAUGCCGCGUGCAGGAAGACGGCUCUAUGAGUUGUAAACUGCUUUUGUACGAGGGUAAACGCAGAUACGCGUAUCUGUCUGAAAGUAUCGUACGAAUAAGGAUCGGCUAACUCCGUGCCAGCAGCCGCGGUAAUACGGAGGAUUCAAGCGUUAUCCGGAUUUAUUGGGUUUAAAGGGUGCGUAGGCGGUCGGAUAAGUUAGAGGUGAAAUCCCGGGGCUCAACUUCGGAAUUGCCUCUGAUACUGUUCGGCUAGAGAGUAGUUGCGGUAGGCGGAAUGUAUGGUGUAGCGGUGAAAUGCUUAGAGAUCAUACAGAACACCGAUUGCGAAGGCAGCUUACCAAGCUACUUCUGACGUUGAGGCACGAAAGCGUGGGGAGCAAACAGGAUUAGAUACCCUGGUAGUCCACGCAGUAAACGAUGAUAACUCGUUGUCGGCGAUACAGUGUCGGUGACUAAGCGAAAGCGAUAAGUUAUCCACCUGGGGAGUACGUUCGCAAGAAUGAAACUCAAAGGAAUUGACGGGGGCCCGCACAAGCGGAGGAACAUGUGGUUUAAUUCGAUGAUACGCGAGGAACCUUACCCGGGCUUGAAAGUUAGUGACGGAUCUUGAAAGAGGUCUUCCCUUCGGGGCACGAAACUAGGUGCUGCAUGGUUGUCGUCAGCUCGUGCCGUGAGGUGUCGGGUUAAGUCACAUAACGAGCGCAACCCCUACCGUUAGUUGCCAGCAGGUCAAGCUGGGCACUCUGACGGGACUGCCGGUGUAAGCCGAGAGGAAGGUGGGGAUGACGUCAAAUCAGCACGGCCCUUACGUCCGGGGCUACACACGUGUUACAAUGGCAGGUACAGAGGGCAGCUACCCAGCGAUGGGAUGCGAAUCUCGAAAGCCUGUCUCAGUUCGGAUUGGAGGCUGAAACCCGCCUCCAUGAAGUUGGAUUCGCUAGUAAUCGCGCAUCAGCCAUGGCGCGGUGAAUACGUUCCCGGGCCUUGCACUCAAAGCCCGUCAAG